GUCAGUGUAAACAUUCUGAACUUAAUAUUGAAUGGAUAGUCUUCUUGAACAAUAGUUCAUUCACCCUUUUUGCCCAGGCAUUGAAAUGCCUAUUAAGAGAGAGGAGGAAAGAGUUAGAAUGAGAAGCAGAGGAAAAGAUACAUUUUUGUCCACCAAAUCCUUUUCAAGUCUGUUUGAGCUCUAGCACUGCAGCCACCCACUGAGAGACCAAUGCGGAGUGCUGCAGCUGCUUCUGCGGGACAGGACGACCCCUAUGUGUCCUGCUCAGAGACAGAGCUCCCAUGAGACAUGAGAGAGGAUGAAUACUCUCUCCUUGCACCACACCGGCUCUCCCAGCACACCCCGUUUUCUCUCCAUCGCCUGGAUGGAGUCUGAGGCAGCCACAAGCACCGGCUGCAACAGUAAUUGGAACAUAAUGGAACAUUUUUGCCGACUGAACUGAACCCUUUGCCCCUAUCACCUUCUGAACCACUCGCAAAAUAGGCCCACACUCCACAGCCUACUGUGCACACACACACACACACACACACACACACACACACACACACACACACACACACACACACACCUCAGUGCUGAUUGACCACUUUGGCAGGAAUCAUACAAGCACAUCCCACACACAAUGUACACCAAAAACUGAGAAACACAUGUAUGGUUUUCAGAGUUUAUCUCUUUACUCUUUUUUUCAAGAGUUCUACAAAAGAUGCCACAAAAUACUGUACAUUAUGAGGAGAUGUUCACUGGUGGGACUGAGUGAAAAUCAUGUUAAAUUAUGUUAAUUUUUAAUGAUAAAUAAAAUCCAAUUAAUUCUACCGCUGAUGUGGACAGAAGAAUAUACUAUAAUACUCUGAUCCCUACAUUAAUAUUCAGCACAAAU
Cyprinus carpio carpio is the source of this 877-nucleotide long non-coding RNA. The record is from Ensembl. NCBI's taxonomy places the organism in Eukaryota, Metazoa, Chordata, Actinopteri, Cypriniformes, Cyprinidae.